AGAGUUUGAUCCUGGCUCAGGACGAACGCUGGCGGCGUGCUUAACACAUGCAAGUCGAACGAGAAUCUGUGGAACGAGGAUUCGUCCAAGGGAAACAGAGGACAGUGGCGGACGGGUGAGUAACGCGUGAGGAACCUGCCUUUCAGAGGGGGACAACAGUUGGAAACGACUGCUAAUACCGCAUGACACAUAGGGGUCGCAUGGCCUUUAUGUCAAAGAUUUAUCGCUGAAAGAUGGCCUCGCGUCUGAUUAGCUAGUUGGUGAGGUAACGGCCCACCAAGGCGACGAUCAGUAGCCGGACUGAGAGGUUGAACGGCCACAUUGGGACUGAGAUACGGCCCAGACUCCUACGGGAGGCAGCAGUGGGGAAUAUUGCGCAAUGGGGGAAACCCUGACGCAGCAACGCCGCGUUAAGGAAGAAGGCUUUCGGGUUGUAAACUUAUGUCUGGUGGGAAGAUAAUGACGGUACCACCGGAGGAAGUCACGGCUAACUACGUGCCAGCAGCCGCGGUAAUACGUAGGUGGCGAGCGUUGUCCGGAAUUACUGGGUGUAAAGGGCGCGUAGACGGGUAGAUAAGUUAGAUGUGAAAUACCGGGGCUUAACUCCGGGGCUGCAUUUAAAACUGUUUAUCUUGAGUGCAGGAGAGGGAAGCGGAAUUCCUAGUGUAGCGGUGAAAUGCGUAGAUAUUAGGAGGAACACCAGUGGCGAAGGCGGCUUUCUGGACUGUAACUGACGUUGAGGCGCGAAAGCGUGGGUAGCAAACAGAAUUAGAUCCCCUGGUAGUUCACGCUGUAAACGAGGAUGGCUAGGUGUUGGGGAGCAAAGCUCUUCGGUGCCGCCGCAAACGCAUUAAGCAUUCCACCUGGGGAGUACGUUCGCAAGAAUGAAACUCAAAGGAAUUGACGGGGACCCGCACAAGCGGUGGAGCAUGUGGUUUAAUUCGAAGCAACGCGAAGAACCUUACCAAGUCUUGACAUCCCGAUGAAAAGUCCUUAACCGGACUCCCUCUUCGGAGCAUCGGUGACAGGUGGUGCAUGGUUGUCGUCAGCUCGUGUCGUGAGAUGUUGGGUUAAGUCCCGCAACGAGCGCAACCCUUAUCCUCAGUAGCCAGCAGUAAGAUGGGCACUCUGGGGAGACUGCCAGGGAUAACCUGGAGGAAGGUGGGGAUGACGUCAAAUCAUCAUGCCCCUUAUGAUUUGGGCUACACACGUGCUACAAUGGCGUAAACAAAGAGAAGCGAGCCUGCGAGGGGGAGCAAAUCUCAAAAAUAACGUCUCAGUUCGGAUUGCAGGCUGCAACUCGCCUGCAUGAAGCUGGAAUCGCUAGUAAUCGCGGAUCAGAAUGCCGCGGUGAAUACGUUCCCGGGUCUUGCACACAACGCCCGUCA
This 1388-nucleotide ribosomal RNA is filed under the name uncultured bacterium. Its description in RNAcentral is "bacterial SSU rRNA". It matches the Rfam family "Bacterial small subunit ribosomal RNA". The record is from RNAcentral.